Long non-coding RNA from Oreochromis niloticus (Nile tilapia), 1175 nucleotides. RefSeq lists it as uncharacterized. The record is from RefSeq and is a predicted model, not a curated record. The transcript is spliced from 3 exons. Lineage: Eukaryota; Metazoa; Chordata; Actinopteri; Cichliformes; Cichlidae.
CGUUGCUGCGCGCUGUCAGUCCCGUCUGUGAGCGCAGAACAACCGCUCACAAAACAGCAGUUCGGGGAUGACGUCUCACACAUGGGUCCUCUGUCGGAAUAUAGGACAACCCGGACAUUUUUAUCAAUCUCGAAAAUCCCCCCGGACGCCCCGGACAGAACGUGAAAAGUGGACAUGUCCGGGGAAAAGAGGACGGUUGGUCACCCUACAAAUGGUCACAACUAUCGCCUGUCUGAUCACAAUGUACUAUAAACCUGUGAUGCAGGUAAUUAGCAGUCAGUUAGCUCAGUAGGAUGAGAAACAGACUUUAGCAGGAGGUCUGUAGUUCAACUUUGUCUUUUGGGAAUAUACCUUUUUCCCAUGUUUUCCCUUCAACACUGUUAAUUACCAGGCUUCAGAGGUUGACAGUGAUUUUGUGACCAUCACACAGAGCUAGGCUAGACCUUAAACCAGCGUCUCACUUGAGCAGCAGUGUACGAGGGAAAUUCUUGCGAUAGCGUCACACAGCCAUGUGGAACUGAUGAGAAAACUCAUGCAAGAGUUCAAGGAGCACAGACAUCUCAACAAGUGCUGGGAGGACACUGCAGGAAUCAGAGCUUCAUGGCCGACUCGCCACAAAGAAAGCCUGUGGGGGAGACCAGUAUGAAGAGAGAGUUGCUUGGGCCAAGAAAAACACAAAAAAUUAGACAUCAAGUCAGUGAAAGUCUGUACUUUGGUCUGAGGGAGCAAAUGAUGAGGUCUAAGAUUCCAGCGUCUACAUGUUUGAUAGAUGAGAGAAGGUGAUUGGAUGGUUUCUGCAUGUGUGAUUAGUGCAGCCAAAGCGUUCUGUCAGGUUUGAGCACUGUGGGGUCAUAAUUUGUUGGUUUUCUUUUUUAAACAGGACAAUGAACCAAGGAUGGUUUAACCAUAUAAUAGUCAGCUUUCUAAAACCAAUCGAGAGAACUCUCAGUUGAAAGAAAAGCACAGAGAAGCAAUCAGUCUGUCGAAGAACUUUUAAGAAUUCUGGAAAAUAUCCAAGUGAUGAAUUUUUGAAGCUGGCUGAGAAAAUGAAGAGUGUGCAGGGCUGAUGAACUAUCUCGUAAAGAGAAUAUACAAACUGCAUCAUCAUUUAAUGACAAUUUUAAGUAUCAAACUGUGGCCAGGGGAGAAAAAAAAGCAGAGACUUUUGUUUUUUA